This 3109-nucleotide long non-coding RNA is filed under the name Mus musculus (house mouse). RNAcentral describes it as "long non-coding RNA chr5:81799025-81802134". The record is from RNAcentral. Lineage: Eukaryota; Metazoa; Chordata; Mammalia; Rodentia; Muridae.
UAAAACACAGUUUAUGAUCUAUGCUGUUUUUAAGACCACCUCUACAAUUUAAAAGUUAAUACACUAAAAAAAUUCUUUAAAAAAUUAGGCUUUUAAUCUUGAGUGUUAAAAGUGUGAUGAAGCUCUGACUUAAAUUAUAACUUUAAAAACAUUUGUCAGUGACAGACUGUAGUUUUGUAAGAAGGGGGAAGAAAGCUUUUGUCUAACAAGUAACUCUGAACUGAAUUGUAUCCACGCUACAGGAAUGAAGUAUUUAGUUUUUUAGGUUGUUAAUUAACACUGUAUCAAACUCCCAGUACUUGAGAUAUAUUUUGUUGGAAAACAAAAACCACCAAUAAAACAAACAAAAAAAAAAGCCACUUUAACUAUAAAUGAAUGUCAACUUACAUGUAAAGUGUCAAAAAUAAACCAUCUGAAUUUAUAAUCUAAUUUUAAGUGGGACAUUGGCAUUAAUGUUUUACUCUAAGAAAAAUAAUUGGUAUAAAAUACUAUAUACAAGCUUCCCAAUAUAUUAUAUUUAGAAUACAAAGAUUUAAUUGCUCAGGUUUAGAAUAUCAUAAUCUGUCACAUAAACAAUUACUAUGCAUUCCUAAUUAGAAUCUAUAUAUUAGAUCUCUGCAUGUCAAAUUUUAGGAAGUUGAAGACACAAAAGGGACACAAGUACACACAAAACAGAUUUUUGGAAGCAUUUUUCUACAAAUGAAUUCUAUGUAGAAAAACUUUUUUAGAGUUCAUAAAAUAGAUUCCAAAGACUAAACUCAAUUUUGUAAUCAGGAUAUUUGUGUGUCUUAUACCAUUUGAAAAAUAUGGUUUUAGACAUCUCAAAUUUCAUUUAUAAUCCAAAAGCUAUAGCCAGUUGCUAUAGGUGUUUGUGUCCAUAGAGGACAUUUAUUUAAGGCAAUCAUUUACCUCGAUGAUAUCAUGUUUGCUUUAAAAGGGAAAGCGGUCUUUAAAUUGUCACCUGUUUAUGUGUUUACACAGUCUAAUUUUUAAUAAGAUUUCAGAGGAAGUAACUCUUUUACAAGUUUUCACUUGUGGUAUUUUCCAAUUAGGUAGUUUUGUAUAUUCUCAUUUUAAGUAAUUACUUUAGUCUUUUUAUUUAAAUUACAAUCAUUAGUUUGCCUCUAGCACUUUUAAGUUACUAUUAAAAUGUCUCAGUCCAAAUAUGUUUUUGAUCCUUUACCUGUUUUACCAGUAUAUUGAUUAUUCUUCUCUCCAUUUAUAGCUCUGCACCCACACACCCUUGUAGAACAUGAUAAAAGUAAGUGGAAAACUGAUUUAUGUGAAUCAAGGAACAGCUCACAGACGCCAUCUUCUUUUAACCAGCCAGGAUUUUCUUAAACAUAGUAUGAAUUUUUUCCCAACUACACAAAACUGACAUUAGAAUUUUAGAGAAAAGUUUUAGGGAAAAGUGGUGAAAUGGCUUAUGAUAAAAAGCUGUUGUACCUAAAACUACUGAUGUAUUAAAAGAUGUAAAUUCACAUACUUUCAUAAUUUUAAUACCACAGAAAAUACAACAUGCUUUUAGCCAUUCUUUUGUUUGUUUGUUUGUUUUAGAUAUUUCUUACCUGGUUAGAUCUUGUUGCACAGAAAUGUAAAUACUUCAUAAAAGUUUCUAAAAUGUAAGUAUUUUACAUCAACUCACCUUCACCUUCUGAUCUGCUAUUGAGCACCAACACACUUAAUGCUAACCGAGGCUUUUUUUUUUUUUAUGAAUCUCUCUAGUAAACAUUGAAUUCAUAUUAGAAGUAUAUGCAUUAUGCAAAAUAAUUGACAACCAAUAGUCUCAUUACAAAAUAAUUUGGCAUUUAUAUAUAAAUGCUAUUGACCUACCAAAUGACCACCAUGCUGACAGUCCUGUCUUCUACCACUGGAGUCACUUCACACAAUUCUGCAUAGAGCUGUACAUAUUCUGGACUGCUAAAAUAUCUAACAUUACAAAGCUUCAGAAUGGAUCCCCAGUGCUUCUUCCAAGGUAGAAAAGUGAAGGGAAGAUUUUGAAGGAGGAAGUAAUCCAGGCUUCGAGAGAUCUGACUUAGUCAUUGUUCUUGAGACCCAAUAGUUUAAUGUUGACGUGCUAUGAUCUUUGAACUAAGGAGGAAGUUGCAAAAAAAAAAAAUCUAAUUAACCCAGAAGAAUUUAGAUUUGUUUUAUUAGCCAACACUGCAAAUAUUCUUAUUAUGUGAAUCAGAAAUAGCUUCUUAAGGUAACUGUACAAACCUUAAAAAUUGCUUUGUUUCUGCUGUUCGAAACAGGGAAAUUGCUCCUGAUACCCUUAUUGAUUGACUUCAGAAGAUGUCUCACGAAAGUAGAGAAUCAUGAUACUGAGGAGCAGUGGGGUUCUUCAGAGUUGUAGCACAGUGGCUAGAAAAGUGUAGCCACUAAUACUAAAAGCCAAUUAUCAUUAUACAGUAUUGCUUUCAAUGUCUCAAAUUCCAACUAAUGGCUGAUCAUUUCACUGACAUUUUGAAUCACAAAGGACAAAUAAAAUCACUGAAUGCUUUGUUUUCAUACCCCAGUGAAAAGUAAAGAUAUGCUUUUCCAUCCUAAAUAAUAAAGAACCGUGGUGUCCCACAGAGUUGUAGAUAGCUGGAUGUGUGUGUGUAUGUGUGUGUGUGCUUUGUAGAUAUGUCUCUGUCAUCUAUGUAUUCUAACACUGAUGCUAAUAUUCUAACAUCUAAUAUUUCCUGGAAACUAUAAAUUCAAAACCAGUAGAACCAGAUUUUUCUCCCUCAGCUUAUGUGAACACUUUGGGACAGGACAGAUAAUUGGGAAAGUUUUUCAUAUUUGUUUUUCUUCUUGACAAGAUUUUCAUUUAAUUUAAUACAUGUCUCUUAAAAAUAGUUUCUUUUGAAGACUAACAACUAAUCGAGCUACUCCUCCCUGAUAUGAAAAAUCACUUUUAGAAGUAAAUACGUAGCUAUUGCAACAUUGGUCUCAGAGAAUUGCCCUAGGUUCACAUAUAACCCUCUUCUGGCCAUACACACCAAUAAAUUUUAAGGCACUGGAUCCCCACUUCGCUCUUGUUCAAUCCUUUUAUCCUUUUUUUUUAAUGCUUUGUACAAUCACAUGUAAAACUAUGAGCUACAAAACUCAAUAAAAUAUCAGU